RNA transcript from Zea mays, 1905 nucleotides. RefSeq lists it as uncharacterized. NCBI's taxonomy places the organism in Eukaryota, Viridiplantae, Streptophyta, Magnoliopsida, Poales, Poaceae. The record is from RefSeq and is marked validated. The transcript is spliced from 7 exons.
UCGUGACAAACGGCGCCUAAAAAUACACGGAGCCUGCACGCGUGUUUCUCCACAUGCCCUCUCCUUCUCGGAUCCUCUACCGUAAUCUCCCGGCGACGCCGCCGCCAUGUCUUCCCAGUCUUCUGCAGGAGGUCCGGCGAUCCAUCAUCCCCACUCCAACUACCACCCGUACAUCUUUCAGCAUGACCCUCCGCUCCACUCUAAUUCCCGCCGUCGCCGCCGUAACCAUGAUGACCCAUAUCAACCCUAUCUGCCUCUACCCCACGCUCACUCCCACGGAGCCACUGCCGUCGUUACCGGCACCGUUCGUUGCCAUGUCCCCCGGGAUCCACUUGUGCUCUCACACCUCCAGGAGCGCCUCUUUCCGACUCUCCCUCAACAUCACCCGAUCGCGGGUCCACCCCCGACGAAGCGGGCCCGCCGCGCGCCAGAUACUCCGUGGGAUCCGCCGCCGCCAACGCUGCAGCCGGCACUUGUCCCGGUGGCGCUAGAGAGGCCUCCGGAUGUAGGACAUUCUGCCGGGGCGUUGCUUUCGCGUGACGAGAUCGAGAGGCGGUCUCCAUCAAGAAGGGACGGGAUCGAUUCCGCGCUUGAGGCCAGGCUGCGUGCGUCCUACUGCGCCUACCUGCAUUGCCUCGGCAACCGGCUCGGGUUGCCGCAGACAACAAUUGCGACGGCUGUGGUGUUCUGCCAUCGGUUCUUCUUCCACAGAUCUCAUGCCUGCCAUGAUAGAUUUUUGGUUGCGACUGCAGCCUUGUUCCUGGCAGCAAAGGCAGAAGAAACAGCAUGCCUUUUGAAUACUGUUCUUAGGGCUUCAUGUGAGGUUUCUCAAAAUCAGGAAUUCAAUCUUCUUCCUUACAUGCUAUGUGGUCAGGACUGGUUUGAACAGUACAGAGAGAGUGUAAUACAAGCGGAGCAAAUGAUACUUACAACACUUGAUUUUGAACUCGAAGUAGCCCACCCAUAUGCUUCCCUAUCCUCUGCUUUGGGCAAACUAGGACUCACACAUACUGUUCUGUUUAAUGUGGCUUGGAAUCUGAUCAAUGAAGGGAGUGGCAUAUGCCCCUGGAGGUGUUAUAUGAUCAAAUAAUUGAUGAUGUAUGUGUGGCAAGGUGCAUGUCUAAUCGCUAGAUUUUAGCAAUAGGGCAAUUCUUCAGAAGGUUGUUCAAUAAUGUGAUACCUGGCAUCUUUUAGUGGUAAGGAGAAUUGGACAUGUUUUUUUUUUUUUUUUUUGUAAAUUGUUAAUAUAUGUUGGAUCGUUGACCCUUGAGGCCUUAACAUCUCUUGCUGACAUGGCUUGUCAUGUUGCCUGAAACAAAUGACUUCACUUUUCAUGUGAGCGGUUCUAAUUGAUGGCUACGAAGUUCACUUUGGCUUCAGUUCAAGCCCCAUCAUAUUGCUGCUGGAGCUGCAUUCCUUGCUGCAAAGUUCCUCCACUAUGACAUCACAUUCCAUCCAAAUUUCUGGCAUGAAUUCAAGACAAGUCCAUAUAUUGUUCAAGAUGUUGUCCAGCAGUUGAAGGAGCUACUUUAGGAUACAACAUUCAAUGUAUUUACAUAAUACUCAGAGAUCCUCUUGGUUUAUACGCUGUAGUGAGUAGUGAUCACUGCCAAAAGUACGUACACAUUAGCAUGUGGUCACUUUCAUCAAUUACUGAACAUCUUUCAUGUAGGUUUUUACAACCACAGUGCUAUGUACAAAAGGGGAAGAUGUUAUUCAAAAGUUGCCCUUUUAGUUUUGGGGAGGUAAAAGCAAACAAUCUUUAGAAGAGAUGUGACGAACAACAAGAGAUAAAAAAGGCAAAAAGGUGUAAGAGAUGUAAAAAGUUGAUGAAAUGUUGGAUCCCUUAAUUGGUUGUCCGGUUGUGAUUAUCUGAUAUAUAUAGAGGAUGGUUUAUCCCAACAA